GAUGAACGCUGGCGGCGUGCCUAAUACAUGCAAGUCGAGCGAACAGACGAGGAUCUUGCUCCUCUGACGUUAGCGGCGGACGGGUGAGUAACACGUGGAUAACCUACCUAUAAGUCUGGGAUAACUUCGGGAAACCGGAGCUAAUACCGGAUAAUAUAUUGAACCGCAUGGUUCAAUAGUGAAAGACGGUUUUGCUGUCACUUAUAGAUGGAUCCGCGCCGCAUGAGCUAGUGGGUAAGGUAACGGCUUACCAAGGCAGCGAUGCGUGGCGGACCUGAGAGGGUGGUAGGGCCCCCGAGACUGGAGACGCGGUCCGGACUACUACGGGACGCAGCAGAGGGGUAUGGUAGGCAAGGGGCGGGAGCUUAGCGGAAAACAGCCGAGUGGGUGAUAGAAGUCUGGCGAUCGGGAUACUCAGCUACUUGUGAGGAAGAAUUGUGUAAGCAACGAUGGGGGUUUUGACGGUACCGAAUGAAUAAGCACCGGCUAACUACGUG
Molecule: ribosomal RNA, 497 nt
Filed under: uncultured bacterium
Lineage: Bacteria
Description: partial 16S ribosomal RNA
Rfam family: Bacterial small subunit ribosomal RNA
Source: RNAcentral